RNAcentral lists this long non-coding RNA (214 nucleotides) under Gallus gallus (chicken). The record is from RNAcentral. Lineage: Eukaryota; Metazoa; Chordata; Aves; Galliformes; Phasianidae.
AAAAAUCAAGCGUCUGGUCAUCCCUCAGCUUCCGGCCACAGUAGAUCAGAUCGAUGAGCUCGGGGUCCGGGACGGACUCCUGCAGCUUGCCGGUGAUCAGCUGCUUGAGGUGGGAGAUGCUGCACCCGCCCAGGGGGCACUCCCCGAGCUCCGUCUCGGGUAAGCGCAAGAUGGAUUUGGGGGCCAGAGGCUGGUCCGCCAGCUUCACCGCGAU